UUGUGAAGUGCCAGCUGGGAGAGCAUCUCCCUUACAAGGAGGGGGUCGGCGGUUCGAUCCCGUCAUCACCCACCA
RNAcentral lists this transfer RNA (75 nucleotides) under Salmonella enterica subsp. enterica serovar Paratyphi A. RNAcentral describes it as "tRNA-Pseudo". Lineage: Bacteria; Pseudomonadati; Pseudomonadota; Gammaproteobacteria; Enterobacterales; Enterobacteriaceae. The record is from RNAcentral.